This 13964-nucleotide long non-coding RNA is filed under the name Xyrichtys novacula (pearly razorfish). The record is from RNAcentral. Lineage: Eukaryota; Metazoa; Chordata; Actinopteri; Labriformes; Labridae.
GGGGUGUUCGGGCUUCCUAAAAGUAAUACCUGGGUAUUAGGUUAUGGGGCCAUGGUAAGGUUUAAGGUUUUUGGCGUUAGGGUUAAUAUCACUGUCCAAAACCUUUGUAGGAACUCUUUUCCAACCUUUUGGAGUUGGUUACACCAACAAAAAUGUAAAAUGAAAAACAAAUAUUUGGGGUGUUCAGGCUUCCUAAAAGUAAUAUCCAGGUAUUAGGUUAUGGGGCUAUGGUAAGGUUUAAGGUUUUUGGCGUUAGGGUUAAAAUCACUGUCCAAAACCUUUGUAGGAACUCUUUUCCAACCUUUUGGAGUUGGUUAGACCAAAAAAAAUGAAAAAUGAAAAAAAAAAUAUUUGGGGUGUUCGGGCUUCCUGAAGGUAAUACCCGGGAAUUAGGUUAUGGGGCUAUGGUAAGUUUUAAGGUUUUUGGCGUUAGGGUUAAAAUCACUGUCCAAAACCUUUGUAGGAACUCUUUUCCAACCUUUUGGAGUUGGUUACACCAACAAAAAUGUAAAAUGAAGAAAAAAAUAUUUGGGGUGUUCGGGCUUCCUGAAGGUAAUACCCGGGUAAUAGAUUUUAAGGCUAGGGUAAGGUUUAAGGUUUUUGGCGUUAGGGUUAAAAUCACUGUCCAAAACCUUUGUAGGAACUCUUUUCCAACCUUUUGGAGUUAGUUAGACCAAAAAAAAAGAAAAAUGAAAAAAAAAUAUUUGGGGUGUUCAGGCUUCCUAAAAGUAAUACCCGGGUAUUAGGUUAUGGGGCUAUGGUAAGGUUUAAGGUUUUUGGCGUUAGGGUUAAAAUCACUGUCCAAAACCUUUGUAGGAACUCUUUUCCAACCUUUUGGAGUUAGUUAGACCAAAAAAAAUGAAAAAUGAAAAAAAAAUAUUUGGGGUGUUCAGGCUUCCUAAAAGUAAUACCCGGGUAUUAGAUUUUAAUGCCAGGGUAAGGUUUAAGUUUUUUGGCGUUAGGGUUAAAAUCACUGUCCAAAACCUUUGUAGGAACUCUUUUCCAACCUUUUGGAGUUAGUUAGACCAACAAAAAUGUAAAAUGAAAAACAAAUAUUUGGGGUGUUCAGGCUUCCUGAAGGUAAUACCCGGGUAUUAGGUUAUGGGGCUAGGGUAAGGUUUAAGGUUUUUGGCGUUAGGGUUAAAAUCACUGUCCAAAACCUUUGUAGGAACUCUUUUCCAACCUUUUGGAGUUAGUUAGACCAAAAAAAAAGAAAAAUGAAAAAAAAAUAUUUGGGGUGUUCAGGCUUCCUGAAGGUAAUACCCGGGUAUUAGAUUUUAAGGCUAGGGUAAGGUUUAAGUUUUUUGGCGUUAGGGUUAAAAUCACUGUCCAAAACCUUUGUAGGAACUCUUUUCCAACCUUUUGGAGUUAGUUAGACCAAAAAAAAAAUGAAAAAUGAAAAAAAAAUAUUUGGGGUGUUCAGGCUUCCUAAAAGUAAUACCCGGGUAUUAGGUUAUGGGGCUAUGGUAAGGUUUAAGGUUUUUGGCGUUAGGGUUAAAAUCACUGUCCAAAACCUUUGUAGGAACUCUUUUCCAACCUUUUGGAGUUAGUUAGACCAAAAAAAAAUGAAAAAAUGAAAAAAAAAUAUUUGGGGUUUUCGGGCUUCCUGAAAGUAAUACCCGGGUAUUAGAUUUUAAGGCUAGGGUAAGGUUUAAGUUUUUUGGCGUUAGGGUUAAAAUCACUGUCCAAAACCUUUGUAGGAACUCUUUUCCAACCUUUUGGAGUUAGUUACACCAAAAAAAAUGUAAAAUGAAAAAAAAAUAUUUGGGGUGUUCGGGCUUCCUGAAAGUAAUACCCGGGUAUUAGAUUUUGGGGCUAUGGUAAGGUUUAAGGUUUUUGGCGUUAGGGUUAAAAUCACUGUCCAAAACCUUUGUAGGAACUCUUUUCCAACCUUUUGGAGUUGGUUAGACCAAAAAAAAAAGAAAAAUGAAAAAAAAAUAUUUGGGGUGUUCAGGCUUCCUAAAAGUAAUACCCAGGUAUUAGGUUAUGGGGCUAUGGUAAGGUUUAAGUUUUUUGGCGUUAGGGUUAAAAUCACUGUCCAAAACCUUUGUAGGAACUCUUUUCCAACCUUUUGGAGUUAGUUAGACCAAAAAAAAAUGAAAAAUUAAAAAACAAUAUUUGGGGUUUUCGGGGUUCCUGAAUGUAAUACCCGGGUAUUAGGUUAUGGGGCUAGGGUAAGGUUUAAGGUUUUUGGCGUUAGGGUUAAAAUCACUGUCCAAAACCUUUGUAGGAACUCUUUUCCAACCUUUUGGAGUUAGUUAGACCAAAAAAAAAAGAAAAAUGAAAAAAAAAUAUUUGGGGUGUUCAGGCUUCCUGAAGGUAAUACCCGGGUAUUAGAUUUUAAGGCUAGGGUAAGGUUUAAGGUUUUUUGGCGUUAGGGUUAAAAUCACUGUCCAAAACCUUUGUAGGAACUCUUUUCCAACCUUUUGGAGUUGGUUAGACCAAAAAAAUGAAAAAAGAAAAAAAUAUUUGGGGUGUUCAGGCUUCCUGAAGGUAAUACCCGGGUAUUAGAUUUCAAGGGCUAGGGUAAGGUUUAAGGUUUUUGGCGUUAGGGUUAAAAUCACUGUCCAAAACCUUUGUAGGAACUCUUUUCCAACCUUUUGGAGUUAGUUAGACCAAAAAAAAUGAAAAAUGAAAAAAAAAAAUAUUUGGGGUGUUCAGGCUUCCUAAAAGUAAUACCCGGGUAUUAGGUUAUGGGGCUAUGGUAAGGUUUAAGGUUUUUGGCGUUAGGGUUAAAAUCACUGUCCAAAACCUUUGUAGGAACUCUUUUCCAACCUUUUGGAGUUAGUUAGACCAAAAAAAAUGAAAAAUGAAAAAAAAAUAUUUGGGGUUUUCGGGCUUCCUGAAGGUAAUACCCGGGUAUUAGAUUUUAAGGCUAGGGUAAGGUUUAAGUUUUUUGGCGUUAGGGUUAAAAUCACUGUCCAAAACCUUUGUAGGAACUCUUUUCCAACCUUUUGGAGUUAGGUGACCAAAAAAAAUGUAAAAUGAAAAAAAAAAAUAUUUGGGGUGUUCGGGCUUCCUGAAAGUAAUACCCAGGUAUUAGAUUUUAAGGCCAGGGUAAGGUUUAAGUUUUUUGGCGUUAGGGUUAAAAUCACUGUCCAAAACCUUUGUAGGAACUCUUUUCCAACCUUUUGGAGUUAGUUAGACCAAAAAAAAUGAAAAAUGAAAAAAAAAAUAUUUGGGGUGUUCAGGCUUCCUGAAGGUAAUACCCGGGUAUUAGAUUUUAAGGCUAGGGUAAGGUUUAAGGUUUUUGGCGUUAGGGUUAAAAUCACUGUCCAAAACCUUUGUAGGAACUCUUUUCCAACCUUUUGGAGUUAGUUAGACCAAAAAAUAUGAAAAAAGAAAAAAAUAUUAUUGGGGGUUUUCGGGCUCCCUGAAGGUAAUACCCAGGUAUUAGGUUUUGGGACUGGGGAAAGGUUUAAGGUUUUUGGCGUUAGGGUUAAAAUCACUGUCCAAAACCUUUGUAGGAACUCUUUUCCAACCUUUUGGAGUUAGUUAGACCAAAAAAAAUGAAAAAUGAAAAAAAAAUAUUUGGGGUGUUCAGGCUUCCUUAAUGUAAUACCCGGGUAUUAGAUUUUAAUGCCAGGGUAAGGUUUAAGUUUUUCGGCGUUAGGGUUAAAAUCACUGUCCAAAACCUUUGUAGGAACUCUUUUCCAACCUUUUGGAGUUGGUUACACCAACAAAAAUGUAAAAUGAAAAACAAAUAUUUGGGGUGUUCGGGCUUCCUGAAGGUAAUACCCGGGAAUUAGGUUAUGGGGCUAGGGAAAGGUUUAAGUUUUUUGGCGUUAGGGUUAAAAUCACUGUCCAAAACCUUUGUAGGAACUCUUUUCCAACCUUUUGGAGUUGGUUACAACAACAAAAAAGUAAAAUGAAAAAAAAAAUAUUUGGGGUGUUUGGGCUUCCUUAAUGUAAUACCCGGGUAUUAGAUUUUAAGGCUAGGGUAAGGUUUAAGUUUUUUGGCGUUAGGGUUAAAAUCACUUUCCAAAACCUUUGUAGGAACUCUUUUCCAACCUUUUGGAGUUAGUUAGACCAAAAAAAAAUGAAAAAUUAAAAAACAAUAUUUGGGGUUUUCGGGGUUCCUGAAUGUAAUACCCGGGUAUUAGAUUUUGAGGCUAUGGUAAGGUUUAAGGUUUUUGGCAUUAGGGUUAAAAUCACUGUCCAAAACCUUUGUAGGAACUCUUUUCCAACCUUUUGGAGUUGGUUACACCAACAAAAAUGUAAAAUGAAGAAAAAAAUAUUUGGGGUGUUCAGGCUUCCUGAAGGUAAUACCCGGGUAUUAGAUUUUAAGGCUAGGGUAAGGUUUAAGGUUUUUGGCGUAAGGGUUAAAAUCACUGUCCAAAACCUUUGUAGGAACUCUUUUCCAACCUUUUGGAGUUAGUUAGACCAAAAAAUAUGAAAAAAGAAAAAAAUAUUAUUGGGGGUUUUCGGGCUCCCUGAAAGUAAUACCCGGGUAUUAGGUUUUGGGGCUAUGGUAAGGUUUAAGUUUUUUGGCGUUAGGGUUAAAAUCACUGUCCAAAACCUUUGUAGGAACUCUUUUCCAACCUUUUGGAGUUAGUUAGACCAAAAAAAAAGAAAAAUGAAAAAAAAAUAUUUGGGGUGUUCAGGCUUCCUGAAGGUAAUACCCGGGUAUUAGAUUUUAAGGCUAGGGUAAGGUUUAAGGUUUUUGGCGUUAGGGUUAAAAUCACUGUCCAAAACCUUUGUAGGAACUCUUUUCCAACCUUUUGGAGUUAGUUAGACCAAAAAAUAUGAAAAAAGAAAAAAAUAUUAUUGGGGGUUUUCGGGCUCCCUGAAGGUAAUACCCAGGUAUUAGGUUUUGGGACUGGGGAAAGGUUUAAGGUUUUUGGCGUUAGGGUUAAAAUCACUGUCCAAAACCUUUGUAGGAACUCUUUUCCAACCUUUUGGAGUUAGUUAGACCAAAAAAAAUGAAAAAUGAAAAAAAAAUAUUUGGGGUGUUCAGGCUUCCUUAAUGUAAUACCCGGGUAUUAGAUUUUAAUGCCAGGGUAAGGUUUAAGUUUUUUGGCGUUAGGGUUAAAAUCACUGUCCAAAACCUUUGUAGGAACUCUUUUCCAACCUUUUGGAGUUGGUUACACCAACAAAAAUGUAAAAUGAAAAACAAAUAUUUGGGGUGUUCGGGCUUCCUGAAGGUAAUACCCGGGAAUUAGGUUAUGGGGCUAGGGAAAGGUUUAAGUUUUUUGGCGUUAGGGUUAAAAUCACUGUCCAAAACCUUUGUAGGAACUCUUUUCCAACCUUUUGGAGUUGGUUACAACAACAAAAAAGUAAAAUGAAAAAAAAAUAUUUGGGGUGUUUGGGCUUCCUUAAUGUAAUACCCGGGUAUUAGAUUUUAAGGCUAGGGUAAGGUUUAAGUUUUUUGGCGUUAGGGUUAAAAUCACUUUCCAAAACCUUUGUAGGAACUCUUUUCCAACCUUUUGGAGUUAGUUAGACCAAAAAAAAAUGAAAAAUUAAAAAACAAUAUUUGGGGUUUUCGGGGUUCCUGAAUGUAAUACCCGGGUAUUAGAUUUUGAGGCUAUGGUAAGGUUUAAGGUUUUUGGCAUUAGGGUUAAAAUCACUGUCCAAAACCUUUGUAGGAACUCUUUUCCAACCUUUUGGAGUUGGUUACACCAACAAAAAUGUAAAAUGAAGAAAAAAAUAUUUGGGGUGUUCAGGCUUCCUGAAGGUAAUACCCGGGUAUUAGAUUUCAAGGCUAGGGUAAGGUUUAAGGUUUUUUGCGUAAGGGUUAAAAUCACUGUCCAAAACCUUUGUAGGAACUCUUUUCCAACCUUUUGGAGUUAGUUAGACCAAAAAAUAUGAAAAAAGAAAAAAAUAUUAUUGGGGGUUUUCGGGCUCCCUGAAAGUAAUACCCGUGUAUUAGGUUUUGGGACUAGGGAAAGGUUUAAGGUUUUUGGCGUUAGGGUUAAAAUCACUGUCCAAAACCUUUGUAGGAACUCUUUUCCAACCUUUUGGAGUUAGUUAGACCAAAAAAAAAAAAGAAAAAUGAAAAAAAAAUAUUUGGGGUGUUCAGGCUUCCUAAAAGUAAUACCCGGGUAUUAGGUUAUGGGGCUAUGGUAAGGUUUAAGGUUUUUGGCGUUAGGGUUAAAAUCACUGUCCAAAACCUUUGUAGGAACUCUUUUUCAACCUUUUGGAGUUAGUUAGACCAAAAAAAAAUGAAAAAUGAAAAAAAAAUAUUUGGGGUUCACGGGCUUCCUUAAUGUAAUACCCGGGUAUUAGAUUUUAAGGCUAGGGUAAGGUUUAAGUUUUUUGGCGUUAGGGUUACAAUCACUGUCCAAAACCUUUGUAGGAACUCUUUUCCAACCUUUUGGAGGUGGUUGAACCAACAAAAAUGUAAAAUGAAGAAAAAAAUAUUUGGGGUGUUCAGGCUUCCUGAAUGUAAUACCCGGGUAUUAGAUUUUAAGGCCAGGGAAAGGUUUAAGUUUUUUGGCGUUAGGGUUAAAAUCACUGUCCAAAACCUUUGUAGGAACUCUUUUCCAACCUUUUGGAGUUGGUUACACCAACAAAAAUGUAAAAUGAAGAAAAAAAUAUUUGGGGUGUUCAGGCUUCCUGAAGGUAAUACCCGGGUAUUAGAUUUUAAGGCUAGGGUAAGGUUUAAGGUUUUUGGCGUUAGGGUUAAAAUCACUGUCCAAAACCUUUGUAGGAACUCUUUUCCAACCUUUUGGAGUUAGUUAGACCAAAAAAUAUGAAAAAAGAAAAAAAUAUUAUUGGGGGUUUUCGGGCUCCCUGAAAGUAAUACCCGGGUAUUAGGUUUUGGGGCUAUGGUCAGGUUUAAGUUUUUUGGCGUUAGGGUUAAAAUCACUGUCCAAAACCUUUGUAGGAACUCUUUUCCAACCUUUUGGAGUUGGUUACACCAACAAAAAUGAAAAAUGAAAAAAAAAUAUUUGGGGUGUUCAGGCUUCCUGAAGGUAAUACCCGGGUAUUAGAUUUUAAGGCUAGGGUAAGGUUUAAGGUUUUUGGCGUUAGGGUUAAAAUCACUGUCCAAAACCUUUGUAGGAACUCUUUUCCAACCUUUUGGAGUUAGUUAGACCAAAAAAUAUGAAAAAAGAAAAAAAUAUUAUUGGGGGUUUUCGGGCUCCCUGAAGGUAAUACCCAGGUAUUAGGUUUUGGGACUGGGGAAAGGUUUAAGGUUUUUGGUGUUAGGGUUAAAAUCACUGUCCAAAACCUUUGUAGGAACUCUUUUCCAACCUUUUGGAGUUAGUUUGACCAAAAAAAAAAAGAAAAAUGAAAAAAAAAUAUUUGGGGAGUUCAGGCUUCCUGAAGGUAAUACCCGGGUAUUAGAUUUCAAGGCUAGGGUAAGGUUUAAGGUUUUUGGCGUUAGGGUUAAAAUCACUGUCCAAAACCUUUGUAGGAACUCUUUUCCAACCUUUUGGAGUUAGUUAGACCAAAAAAUAUGAAAAAAGAAAAAAAUAUUAUUGGGGGUUUUCGGGCUCCCUGAAAGUAAUACCCGGGUAUUAGGUUUUGGGGCUAUGGUCAGGUUUAAGUUUUUUGGCGUUAGGGUUAAAAUCACUGUCCAAAACCUUUGUAGGAACUCUUUUCCAACCUUUUGGAGUUAGUUAGACCAAAAAAAAUGAAAAAUGAAAAAAAAAAUAUUUGGGGUGUUCAGGCUUCCUGAAGGUAAUACCCGGGUAUUAGAUUUUAAGGCUAGGGUAAGGUUUAAGGUUUUUGGCGUUAGGGUUAAAAUCACUGUCCAAAACCUUUGUAGGAACUCUUUUCCAACCUUUUGGAGUUAGUUAGACCAAAAAAUAUGAAAAAAGAAAAAAAUAUUGUUGGGGGUUUUCGGGCUCCCUGAAGGUAAUACCCAGGUAUUAGGUUUUGGGACUGGGGAAAGGUUUAAGGUUUUUGGCGUUAGGGUUAAAAUCACUGUCCAAAACCUUUGUAGGAACUCUUUUCCAACCUUUUGGAGUUAGUUAGACCAAAAAAAAUGAAAAAUGAAAAAAAAAUAUUUGGGGUGUUCAGGCUUCCUUAAUGUAAUACCCGGGUAUUAGAUUUUAAUGCCAGGGUAAGGUUUAAGUUUUUUGGCGUUAGGGUUAAAAUCACUGUCCAAAACCUUUGUAGGAACUCUUUUCCAACCUUUUGGAGUUGGUUACACCAACAAAAAUGUAAAAUGAAAAACAAAUAUUUGGGGUGUUCGGGCUUCCUGAAGGUAAUACCCGGGAAUUAGGUUAUGGGGCUAGGGAAAGGUUUAAGUUUUUUUGCGUUAGGGUUAAAAUCACUGUCCAAAACCUUUGUAGGAACUCUUUUCCAACCUUUUGGAGUUGGUUAAAACAACAAAAAAGUAAAAUGAAAAAAAAAUAUUUGGGGUGUUUGGGCUUCCUUAAUGUAAUACCCGGGUAUUAGAUUUUAAGGCUAUGGUAAGGUUUAAGGUUUUUGGCGUUAGGGUUAAAAUCACUGUCCAAAACCUUUGUAGGAACUCUUUUUCAACCUUUUGGAGUUAGUUAGACCAAAAAAAAAAUGAAAAAUGAAAAAAAAAUAUUUGGGGUGUUCAGGCUUCCUUAAUGUAAUACCCCGGUAUUAGAUUUUAAGGCUAGGGUAAGGUUUAAGUUUUUUGGCGUUAGGGUUACAAUCACUGUCCAAAACCUUUGUAGGAACUCUUUUCCAACCUUUUGGAGGUGGUUGAACCAACAAAAAUGUAAAAUGAAGAAAAAAAUAUUUGGGGUGUUCAGGCUUCCUGAAGGUAAUACCCGGGUAUUAGAUUUUAAGGCCAGGGAAAGGUUUAAGUUUUUUGGCGUUAGGGUUAAAAUCACUGUCCAAAACCUUUGUAGGAACUCUUUUCCAACCUUUUGGAGUUGGUUGAACCAACAAAAAUGUAAAAUGAAGAAAAAAAUAUUUGGGGUGUUCAGGCUUCCUGAAGGUAAUACCCGGGUAUUAGAUUUUAAGGCUAGGGUAAGGUUUAAGGUUUUUGGCGUUAGGGUUAAAAUCACUGUCCAAAACCUUUGUAGGAACUCUUUUCCAACCUUUUGGAGUUAGUUAGACCAAAAAAUAUGAAAAAAGAAAAAAAUAUUAUUGGGGGUUUUCGGGCUCCCUGAAAGUAAUACCCGGGUAUUAGGUUUUGGGACUAUGGUCAGGUUUAAGGUUUUUGGCGUUAGGGUUAAAAUCACUGUCCAAAACCUUUGUAGGAACUCUUUUCCAACCUUUUGGAGUUGGUUACACCAACAAAAAUGAAAAAUGAAAAAAAAAAUAUUUGGGGUGUUCAGGCUUCCUGAAGGUAAUACCCGGGUAUUAGAUUUUAAGGCUAGGGUAAGGUUUAAGGUUUUUGGCGUUAGGGUUAAAAUCACUGUCCAAAACCUUUGUAGGAACUCUUUUCCAACCUUUUGGAGUUAGUUAGACCAAAAAAUAUGAAAAAAGAAAAAAAUAUUAUUGGGGGUUUUCGGGCUCCCUGAAGGUAAUACCCAGGUAUUAGGUUUUGGGACUGGGGAAAGGUUUAAGGUUUUUGGUGUUAGGGUUAAAAUCACUGUCCAAAACCUUUGUAGGAACUCUUUUCCAACCUUUUGGAGUUGGUUACACCAACAAAAAUGUAAAAUGAAAAAAAAAUAUUUGGGGUGUUCGAGCUUCCUGAAGGUAAUACCCGGGUAUUAGGUUAUGGGGCUAUGGUAAGGUUAAAGGUUUUUGGCGUUAGGGUUAAAAUCACUGUCAAAAACCUUUGUAGGAACUCUUUUCCAACCUUUCGGAGUUGGUUACACCAACAAAAAUGUAAAAUGAAAAAAAAAUAUUUGGGGUGUUCGAGCUUCCUGAAGGUAAUACCCGGGUAUUAGGUUAUGGGGCUAUGGUAAGGUUUUAUUGUUUGGCGUUAGGUUUAAAAUCAAAAAAACAAACAAACAAACAAAAAAAAAAUCUCAAAAACAAAAGUUCAAACAAGACACAAACUCAAGAUCAAAAAACACCACAAACUCAAGUUCAACCAACACCCAAAUCUCAAGUUUAACAAUUGCCACAACCUCUAGUUCAAAAACAACACAAACUCAAGUUCAAACACGACACAAACUCAGGUGCAAAAACACCACAAACUCAAGUUCAACAAUUGCCACCAACUAAAGUUCAGAGAAAAAUACAGACUCAAGUUCAACAAUUGCCACAAACUCAAGUUCAACAAACACCACAAUCUUAAGUUCAACAAAUUCCAAAAUUUCAAGUUCAACAAAUGACCUAAACUCACAUUUAACAAUUGCCAAAAACUUAAAAGUUAAAAAAGUGCCACAAACUGAAGUUCAAAAACACCACAAACUGAAGUGUGUGAGGACAUGCAAACCACCAGACUGCACCUGUCUCAGCAAUGGGCUGAAGUGCACAAACCUGUGCAAAUUACAAACUUGUGCCAACCAGUACAGUGAGGAAGAGCCCCUUGCACACCGGCAGAUUCAGAUGUAGAAGAAGAUACAGAUACUGAUGUCGAUUACUGAUGUUGAUUAAUAAGUGAUGACCAAAGGGAGCUAUGUUAGCAGACCCACUGUGACUCAGUGACAGAAUUAUGUGCUAAGCCAAAACUUGACAGUCAUAUUUGCCGUCACUGUUCCUUAUGGAAAGAAUAGGACUUUGAAUAGGAAUUGGAGUUUUUCUCAGAUGAUUGUAUAGAGUGUAUACAUCAGUAGAUCUUAUUUUGUUGCUAAUGUCUUCUUGCCCUGCACCAGCCAGGAUGAUUGUAUAUUGAGUGCCUACAUUUAAAAUAUGUCAGUGUCAUAUUAAAGUUGUGUUAUUAUAAUGCUAUUAGUCUGCAUUUAUUUUAUUUCUACUUCUAAGUCAAAAAAUAUCCUUAAUUUAGACCUUGAUUUAGACCUGACAAUUAGCUAAUUGAAGCUUAUAUAUACACACCUGUAUUAGAUAAAUUACUUGAAAUACUACUUAGGGGGUUAAUACAAGUCUCUAUGGCUAGCCAAUAGUUCAAACACACCUAAAUGAGAGGUUAAAAUGAAAGAAAGCUCAUUUUGAAGGAAGGCGAUUUUUCGUUUUUGAACAGCUGCACUCUAUUACUUCAAUGAGUAAUAACUACAAUAAAGCUACCAGUUACCAAGGUCUAUCAAAUAAAAACUUAUUGUAGGGAUGUAUAAAAAAAUCACAACUAGAAUUUGCCCACCUAGGUGGUACCGAUAUGUGAAAUUUUGGUUAUUGGCUCAAGGACUAAAACUCAAGUUCACAAACACAACAAGUCAAGUUCAAGCAACACCCGAUCCUCAAGUUCAACAAUUUCCACAAACUUAAGUUAAAAAACACCAGAACCUCUAGUUCAAAAAACAUGAUAAACUCAAGUUCAAAUAUGCCACAAACUCAAGUUCAAUGAACACCACAAACUCAAGUUCAACCACCACCCGAUUCUCAAGUUUAACAAUUGCCACAACCUCAAGGUUAAAAAAAACACAAACUCAAGUUCAAACACUUCACAAACUCAAGUUCAAAAACACCACACAAACUCAAGUUCAACAAACACCACAAACUCAAGUUCAACAAACACAACAAGUCAAGUUCAAGCAACACCCGAUCCUCAAGUUCAACAAUUUCCACAAACUUAAGUUAGAAAACACCAGAACCUCAAGUUCAAAAAACAUAAUAAACUCAAGUUCAAAUAUGCCACAAACUCAAGUUCAAUGAACACCACAAACUCAAGUUCAACGAACGCCACAAACAAAAGUUCAACAAUUGCCACCAACUAAAGUUCACUAAAAACCAUAGACUCAAGUUCAACAAUUGCCAAAAAAUCAAGCCAAACAAACUCAAGUUCAUAAGUUGCCACAAACUUCAAACACGACACAAACUCAAGUUCAAAAACACCACAAACUCAAGUUCAAAAACGACACAAACUCAAGUUCAACAAACAAAACUAACUAUUUAGAGUAAUUUUGAGGUGUUUGAGAGGUUUUUUGUAGACUUACCCUAGUGGUCCUAAGUUGUUGUUGAUGUGAGGGGUUUCUUUUCCAGUAGUCUAAAAUCUGUUGGAGGGGGGAAAAGGUUCCAGCUGUCCAUCCGCGGUGGCAGCGGUGUGUCUGAAGUCCGGGGUCCUCGGCGGGGGAAAGAAGAUCAGCGCUCCGCGGGAAGGUUUGCUGGGACUCGGUGCUGUAGGCGGGUCGAAGCUCGGUGGUGGGCGGCUUGGAGUGAUGGAGGUGCGGCGUCUUCUUUCAGUUGGCGGCGCGGCGUCUUCCUCGAUGGUGGUCCGUCUUCUUGGUCCAGAGGUCAGUGCUUUGUCUCAAUAACUGGAACAGGAAUUGCUCUUCAGUGCACGGCACUUAAAUGUGCUUUUCACACGAGGAGACAUCCCCAGAGUUGGGCUCGAGUCAUGGUUUGUGCUGUUCCUCUCAGACAUGGUUGUGUUCUCUUCUCGAUGUUUGUAUUCCAGAAUGGAUGUCUCUUGGUUGUAUUUUAAACCUUCAAGUUGUUUUAAGUUAAUUUUAAUGUAGUUUAUUGUUUUAAAUUGAGUUUUGCUACAUUCAAUUUGUAUGCAAUCGCAAGGGAUUGUGGGUAUUUUAGUUCUGAGGGAUGAGAGCCUAAGGAAUCAAUCUUCCUGUUACAGCAAAGGAUUGUGGGUAAAACCGUGAGGAAGUGAGGUACUUCCUUUCUGGCAUGAGAGCCUUGGGAAUCAAUCUCCCUGUUGCAGCAAAGGAUUGUGGGUAAAACCGUGAGUGAGGGAGGUACAUUUUUCCUGGCAUGAGAACCUCAGGAGUCAGUCCUUCCUAAGAAAAAAGAGGGGAGGGGGGAAGAAAAACAAAAGCACAGGAACCCUAAAAUAAAAUAAAAUAAUAUAAAACAAUGAAAAAAUAAAAGAAGAACAAAAGUGGAUUGCAAAAGGGAAAGGGGAAGAAAAAAGGAAAAAAAGAAGUGUCAAGAGCAAAUAGCAAAAAUCAGAAGUGAGCUUAAAAACAGAGAACAGUUCCCUAAAAGAAAGACAGAAAUGUAAAUCUGAUCAAUGUCCUAAGGGAAAAUCUGUACGUGUGUGUGUGUGUGUUCUUUUUUGCUAACUUAGUCUGGUGUCACUGAUGGUCAGUUAUUGAUAAGUAUUUAUUAUUUAAAUUUUUGAUGAAGUUGUUUGUAGUGGGGUUAGCUGGCUAAUUUUAGAGUGUUAAAAAGAUGUUAGAGGGGGAGGAUUUAGGGGGCACGGCGGUUCCCCUUCAGGUCUUUCUUAAUCCUCCAUAUAGGUGACCCAACAGGGGUUACCCCCCGGCCGGGGUAGGCCUAGGCUGAAGAUCACCUAUUUGUCCUCUGUGAAGGUGAAAAUAAAGGGGCAGGGGAGGGAAUAAGAAAGGGGGGGUGUUAGAGAGAGGGGUAGAGAUGAGGGAGAGAGAUGAGGGAGAGAGAGAGAGAGAGAGAGAGAGAGAGAGAGAGAGAGAGAGAGAGAGAGAGAGAGAGUGUGUGUGUGUGUGUGUGUGUGUGUGUGUGUGUGUGUGUGUGUGUGUGUGUGAGAGAGAGAGAGAGAGAAGGGAAGAGGGAGAGGGGGGUUUAAGGGAGAGGUGGAGAUGGUGGAAAAUAAAGAUUGGUGAGGGGGAUGUUGACAUAUCACAUGUUCCCAGUCAAGUCUCCAAGCUCAAUCUGUGUGUAAAAAUUAUGUGUUGGUAGGAAGUUUAAUGACUCCACUCAAUUGGUAUGCCAUGCUGUCUAUCUUUUAGACUAUGUGUUUGUAAAUUAUGUAUAUAUUAUAUUACAGGGCUAGGGUAAGGUUAAAGGUUUUUGGCGUUAGGGUUAAAAUCACUGUCCAAAACCUUUGUAGGAACUCUUUUCCAACCUUUUGGAGUAAGCUAGACCAAAAAAAAAAAAAUGAAAAAUGAAAAAAAAAAUGUUUGGGGUGUUCAGGCUUCCUAAAAGUAAUACACUGGUAUUAGGUUUUGGGGCUAGGGUAAGGUUUAAGGUUUUUGGCGUUAGGGUUAAAAUCACUGUCCAAAACCUUAGUAGGAACUCUUUUCCAACCUUUUGGAGUUGGUUACACCAACAAAAAUGUAAAAUGAAAAAAAAUAUUUGGGGCUUUCGGGCUUCCUGAA